UGGGGAAUUUUGGACAAUGGGGGAAACCCUGAUCCAGCCAUCCCGCGUGUGCGAUGAAGGCCUUCGGGUUGUAAAGCACUUUUGGCAGGAAAGAAACGUCGCGGGUUAAUACCCCGCGAAACUGACGGUACCUGCAGAAUAAGCGCCGGCUAACUACGUGCCAGCAGCCGCGGUAAUACGUAGGGUGCAAGCGUUAAUCGGAAUUACUGGGCGUAAAGCGUGCGCAGGCGGUUCGGAAAGAAAGAUGUGAAAUCCCAGAGCUUAACUUUGGAACUGCAUUUUUAACUACCGGGCUAGAGUGUGUCAGAGGGAGGUGGAAUUCCGCGUGUAGCAGUGAAAUGCGUAGAUAUGCGGAGGAACACCGAUGGCGAAGGCAGCCUCCUGGGAUAACACUGACGCUCAUGCACGAAAGCGUGGGGGAGCAAACAGGAUUAGAUACCCUGGUAGUCCACGCCCUAAACGAUGUCAACUAGCUGUUGGGGGCCUUCGGGCCUUGGUAGCGCAGCUAACGCGUGAAGUUGACCGCCUGGGGAGUACGGUCGCAAGAUUAAAACUCAAAGGAAUUGGAC
This 569-nucleotide ribosomal RNA is filed under the name uncultured bacterium. RNAcentral's name for it is "partial 16S ribosomal RNA". It matches the Rfam family "Bacterial small subunit ribosomal RNA", at positions 355 to 915 of the family's 1533-position model. The record is from RNAcentral.